This 797-nucleotide long non-coding RNA is filed under the name Capsella rubella. Its description in RNAcentral is "long non-coding RNA (CRUB_LNC000961)". The record is from RNAcentral. Lineage: Eukaryota; Viridiplantae; Streptophyta; Magnoliopsida; Brassicales; Brassicaceae.
UAAAUUAGAAGUGCUUGAAUGUUGUAUAUAUAAGUAAACUUAUUGUUUUUCUUUUAAAAUAUUUUAUUUUGUCUUUACUCCAAAAAAUUAUUUAUAUCGUUCAAGAUGAGGAAAUUCUUGCAAAUCUCGCUAACCGUUUUAACUAUCCUCAUCCUUAUUGUGCUAGGUUUGCUUAGAUAAAUGUUUCAAAAUUCAUAUAUCUUUUUGUUUCAUAAAUUUGAUGGUCUGAAAAAUGUUUUCAAUUUUGUUAUAUAUAUUUAUAAUUCUGUUAUAUUUCUCGCGAAGAAAAAGAGUUUAUUUGAAUUUUAUGUUCUAUAUACAAAAUAAAAAUGAAAUCACAACUACUAAAAUUUUAUGUAUUUAUUACAGGAGGAUCAGAGACUGCAGCAUUCAAACUUUGUCAAGGUACUUAUUAUAAUAACAAAAAAGGGACAUGGAAAUUACAAGAAUGUCAAAGCUUAUGCUACAAGAAGCAUCAAUCCGGCGGGGAUAUAAGGGAAGAGGACAAGGAGAAAGGACUUCACACUAUUGUUUGCCAAUGCGUUUUUAGGUGUUAGAUAAACCAUGAAACGACUUUGUCUUGAGGGACUUAGCGAAUCAUUGUCGUUAUGAGUUUAUAUGAUAAUGCAAACUAGGAGAAAAAUAUCAUUAAAAUCCUGAAUUUUCAAAUCCAUGAUGAUUUAAUCAUGAAUUUUUAAGAAGUCAUUUUAAUCAUAAAGUUUAUGUUGAUUUUUCCAUAAAAAUAAUUAAGUUUUUGUUGAUUUUAUUGAUUUAAACAUGACGUUUAAUUUCUCUUA